Molecule: ribosomal RNA, 212 nt
Filed under: Aspergillus flavus
Lineage: Eukaryota; Fungi; Ascomycota; Eurotiomycetes; Eurotiales; Aspergillaceae
Description: partial 28S rRNA
Source: RNAcentral
GACCAGACUCGCCUCCAGGGUUCAGCCGGCAUUCGUGCCGGUGUACUUCCCUGGGGGCGGGCCAGCGUCGGUUUGGGCGGCCGGUCAAAGGCUCCCGGAAUGUAGUGCCCUUCGGGGCACCUUAUAGCCGGGAGUGCAAUGCGGCCAGCCUGGACCGAGGAACGCGCUUCGGCACGGACGCUGGCAUAAUGGUCGCAAACGACCCGUCUUGA